AGAAUAAAUACCAAAUAACGAGGAUAAAAAACACAGGUGAUCUAGACCUGCUGAGAUGAGAACAAAAUACAAUGUAUCCCUUAAAAAGAGCAAAUAUAAUCCUACAGCAAUACAGAAUGCAUAAAGGGGUCAGAAGGAUUAACUCAGACACUAUGUGAAAAACAACAAAGUGUCAGAGUAUUAUCCCUACCAGACCCAGAUACAAAUAUAACAACUGUAACAAGUAAUACUCAAUAAAGUGUAUACAGAAAAGUACCUUUCCUCGGUGUGGGCCCCCCACCGAGGUACAUACACAAAGCGUGUAGAAAAAAUAAAAAAAUGAUGAAUAACACGGGCUGGAAGCGGUAGUGAAAUAUUUGAAGAGAUGGUAAAAUCCAGCAGAUGGCAUACAGGGUUCCUCAAAAUGCUAUAAAGUAUAUCGCGGUCGGGAUCUUCAAAAAAGACCGCGAUAUAUACUGGACUCACUCACUGCCGCAGCUCGUUAAAGCUUCAAUACCAGAUAAGUUCAUCCGAU
Molecule: non-coding RNA, 514 nt
Organism: Pelobates cultripes (western spadefoot toad)
Lineage: Eukaryota; Metazoa; Chordata; Amphibia; Anura; Pelobatidae
Source: the annotation of a GenBank genome assembly